AGCAGAAUAACUCAUCCUCUCCCCAGAGAUGUCCGUUCUCUAAUCCGUGAAACGGGUGAACAUGUUACCUUCCAUGGCAAAAGGGACUUGGCAGAUGCAAUUAAGGUAUGGACCUUGAAUUGGGAAGAGUUCCCUAGAGUGUCCAGGUGGAUCCAAUAUAACUACAUGAGUUUUUAGAAGUGGAAGAGUAAGACAGAAGAGUGGGUCAGAGAGAUGCAACAACGGAAGAAGAGGAGGAGAAGUGGCAGCUUGAGAGAAACUCAACCCACUACUGCUGGCUUUAAAAAUGGAGGAAGAGGGCCAGGCGCGGUGGCUCAUGCUUGUAAUCCCAGCACUUUGGGAGGCAAAGUUGUGCGGAUCACGAGGUCAGGAGUUUGAGACAAGCCUGAUCAACAUGGUGAAACCCCAUCUCUAAAAAAAUACAAAAAUUAGCUGGGUGUAGUGGUGCGCGCCUAUAGUCCCAGCUGCUCAGGAGUCUGAGGCAGGGGAAUGGCGUGAACCCGGGAAGCGGAGCUUGCAGUGAGCCGAGAUCGCACCACUGCACUCCAGCCCGGGCAACAGAGUGAGACUCCAUCUCAAAAGAAAAAAAAAAGAAAGAAAAUGGAGGAAGGAGACCCACCAUGAGCCAAGGAAUGCAGAUGGCUUCUCAAAGCUGAGAACAGUCCUUAGCUGAUAGCCAGAGCAAGAUAAUAAAGACCUCAGUUCUACAAUCACAAGGAACUGAAUUCUGCCAACAACCUGAAUGCACCAAGAGACAGACUCUUCCAAAGAUCCCUCAGAAAGAGACACAGACGUGCAGGUAUCUUGAUUUCAGCCUCACAGACACCCAUGUCAGACUUCUGACCUGCAGAACUCUAAGGUAGAAGGAAAAGAAGACAAAAGAUGUACCAGAACUUCACUUUUUACCACUGACACGAGCUACUUCUUUGUUGAAUCAGGUACACAGGACACACCAGAAAUAAAGCACUCCCACCCCAGUGAAGGGGAGAGAGUGUCCCCUACCUUCUACUUGAUAAGCUGCAGUGGCUGCCGCCCAUCCAAAUCCUGCAGGGAAAGCCAUGGUUUAAGAAGCUGUCUACUGGGAUCUUCAGCUGCCAGAAGCAGAGCACCCUUUGGCCAGAGGAGCCAGGCAAUUGUGCAAACAGAAAAUGAGCUCUCACCCUAGAAUGAAGCCUCAGAAUACAAAUAUUUAUGCAAACAACAAGGAAGCAGGGGCAAAGGACACUUGACUGCCACAGCCUUGAUAAGAAUCCAAGAUACUUUGUACAAGGCCAUCAUUUAUACUUUCUUCCCCCAGCACUCCCUGAUUCUUAACAGAGUUGAUAACCCUGGGUGCUAAGUCCCUGAUUUGGCAGGGCACCCAUUUACCUGAUGUUUUGCCUUUUAAAGUAACAUGAACAUUGUUUUAAAAAGUCAUUAUCAUCCUACUAGAAUUUUCCCUUAGUUCAUUCAUCCCAAUUCCUGAUCCGUACUCUGUAGAGGUAACCACUUUUAACCAUUUCUUCUGAUAUUUAAUCCCAUAUUGUGUAAAUAAUAGGGUGUUGCUGCUUAUUUUUUUCAAUUUUAGAUAAUUAUUGACUUCUGGGUAUAGGGCAGAGGAUCUAGCACUCUCUCUCUCUGUUCCUCCUCCCUCCUUCUCUUCCACCUUCUCCCAUCUGGCCAACAUGAUAAAAUUACCUUUUCAUUUAAAUGAAUUCAAUAUUUAUAUUUCUAUGAGUCUGUAUGGCUCAAAGCUGAGCCAUAUAGUAUACAUACCAUGCUUCCAUGCAACUUUUAAUUUUCUCUAGGGUUAAUCCACUGCCUGAUCUUUAUGUUUAUUUCAUCUUCUUUACACCUAUUACUAAUUCAUCCCCAAACACUCUGACAGAAGAAUACAUCUCUGAGUUGUUCAAACAACUCUGUCUUCCUGCUCCAUUCUGCACUGUUUAUUUUUUAGGACACCACAGAGCUUUGACCCACGAUCUCCUUCACAUCAUUCAGAGAGGCUCCUUCACCUCUCCCCUGGUCUUUCUGUUUCUUUUCCCGCUUUAGAGAAGCACAUCCUCAAAUAACUGUCUGAUAAAGGGGGCAUGGGACAUAAAUAUUUCAAAACUCUGUAGUUGCUCUGGAAUUGUCUUUAGUCUAACAUUGCUCUUAAUAUGCAGUUUUGUACAGGAUUUUAUGAUGAAAAUAAUUUUCACUCAGAAUUUUGAAGGCAUUGGUUCCUGAUUUUCUAGCUUCUGGUGUGGCUACUGACAAGUUUGAUGAGAAUACAAGUCCUGUUCUUUUAUAUGUAAACUUUUUUAUUUCCCCAGCCCACCCUCUCUGACCCCCAAGUUUCUGUUUCUGAAAUUUCAGUCAUGUUCAUUGGUGUGGAACUUCUGUCCAUUGUGCCAGGAACCCAGUGGGUAUGGGUUUCCACAGAAAUGUACAUGUUAACAGUAGGGGAAACUGGAUGAGGGGCCAUGGGAACUCCCUGUACUAUCUUUGAAGCUUCUGUGUAAAUCUAAAAUUGAUCCAAAAUAAAAAGUUUAUUUAAAAAAAAAUGACUAUGGAUUGGGAGGCC
This 2545-nucleotide long non-coding RNA is filed under the name Homo sapiens (human). RNAcentral's name for it is "HSALNT0070046". Lineage: Eukaryota; Metazoa; Chordata; Mammalia; Primates; Hominidae. The record is from RNAcentral.